Non-coding RNA from Homo sapiens (human), 149 nucleotides. It matches the Rfam family "Metazoan signal recognition particle RNA". Rfam says of the family: The signal recognition particle (SRP) is a universally conserved ribonucleoprotein. It is involved in the co-translational targeting of proteins to membranes. The record is from Rfam. NCBI's taxonomy places the organism in Eukaryota, Metazoa, Chordata, Mammalia, Primates, Hominidae.
GCUGGGCAUGGUGGUGCGCGCCUGUGGUCCCAGCUACUUUGGAAGCUGAGGUGGGAGGAUCACUCGAGCCCAGGAAGUCAAGGCUGCAGUGAGCCGUGAUUGCACCACUGCACUCCAGCCUGGGCAAUAAGAGUGAGAUCCUGUCUCAA